Molecule: unclassified non-coding RNA, 242 nt
Filed under: Hevea brasiliensis (rubber tree)
Lineage: Eukaryota; Viridiplantae; Streptophyta; Magnoliopsida; Malpighiales; Euphorbiaceae
Source: RNAcentral
AUCAUCACUCCCACUAGCCAAAAUUGUAGGAUCUGCUGAUGAGAAGUCAAUGGACCAUACGCGCCUCUCAUGUUCUCCCAUUUCAGUGACCACUUGACUUCUCGUGACAUCCCACACCUGCACUACACCCUCAAAAUUACUUGAAGCAAUUUGACUUUUGAUGUAACGAUUCCAACAAACACUGCUUAGUUUCGACCUGCUAGCCAUUUCAACAACAGGGUAAUGAAUAUCACGGUCUUCGU